RNAcentral lists this ribosomal RNA (253 nucleotides) under uncultured bacterium. RNAcentral describes it as "partial 16S ribosomal RNA". It matches the Rfam family "Bacterial small subunit ribosomal RNA", at positions 524 to 776 of the family's 1533-position model. The record is from RNAcentral.
UACGAGGGGGGCUAGCGUUGCUCGGAAUGACUGGGCGUAAAGGGCGCGUAGGCGGACUGCACAGUCAGGCGUGAAAUUCCUGGGCUUAACCUGGGGACUGCGUCUGAGACGUGUGGUCUAGAGUGAGGAAGAGGGUCGUGGAAUUUCCGGUGUAGAGGUGGAAUUCGUAGAUAUGGGAAAGAACACCGGUGGCGAAGGCGGCGACCUGGUCCACAACUGACGCUGAGGCGCGAAAGCGUGGGGAGCAAACAGG